RNAcentral lists this ribosomal RNA (253 nucleotides) under uncultured bacterium. RNAcentral's name for it is "partial 16S ribosomal RNA". It matches the Rfam family "Bacterial small subunit ribosomal RNA", at positions 524 to 776 of the family's 1533-position model. The record is from RNAcentral.
UACGGAGGGUGCAAGCGUUAAUCGGAAUUACUGGGCGUAAAGCGCACGCAGGUGGCUGAGUCCGUCGAUUGUGAAAGCCCUGGGCUUAACCUGGGAAUUGCAGUCGAUACUACUCAGCUAGAGUAUGGGAGAGGGCAGUGGAAUUCCCGGUGUAGCGGUGAAAUGCGUAGAUAUCGGGAGGAACAUCAGUGGCGAAGGCGGCUGCCUGGCCCAAUACUGACACUCAGGUGCGACAGCGUGGGGAGCAAACAGG